This 230-nucleotide long non-coding RNA is filed under the name Lathyrus oleraceus (garden pea). RNAcentral's name for it is "Pisum sativum (pea) long non-coding RNA (PSAT_LNC035444)". The record is from RNAcentral. Lineage: Eukaryota; Viridiplantae; Streptophyta; Magnoliopsida; Fabales; Fabaceae.
GUCCUACUAACAAAUUUCCAUAUUCCUUAACUUCCCGACUUCAUUAGUACUACAUAACUUCUUGAAACAUAUACCACCCUACAAUUCCACAUUACCAGGAUCACAAUUCCUAUUUCAACUUCAACCAAGUUCGCCAAUUCUCUUUACUUCUUACUCUUGGCUUGAGUCCACCCUCAAAACACAAACUUUCCACAACCUUCAAAGUCCUCGCGGUCUCUAAAACAUGAUCC